Molecule: ribosomal RNA, 460 nt
Filed under: uncultured bacterium
Lineage: Bacteria
Description: partial 16S ribosomal RNA
Rfam family: Bacterial small subunit ribosomal RNA
Source: RNAcentral
CCUACGGGAGGCUGCAGUGAGGAAUAUUGGUCAAUGGACGAGAGUCUGAACCAGCCAAGUAGCGUGAAGGAUGACUGCCCUAUGGGUUGUAAACUUCUUUUAUAUGGGAAUAAAAUGUUCCACGUGUGGGAUUUUGUAUGUACCAUAUGAAUAAGGAUCGGCUAACUCCGUGCCAGCAGCCGCGGUAAUACGGAGGAUCCGAGCGUUAUCCGGAGUUAUUGGGUUUAAAGGGAGCGUAGGUGGAUUGUUAAGUCAGUUGUGAAAGUUUGCGGCUCAACCGUAAAAUUGCAGUUGAAACUGGCAGUCUUGAGUACAGUAGAGGUGGGCGGAAUUCGUGGUGUAGCGGUGAAAUGCUUAGAUAUCACGAAGAACUCCGAUGGCGAAGGCAGUUCACUGGACUGCAACUGACACUGAGGCUCGAAAGUGUGGGUAUCAAACAGGAUUAGAUACCCUUGUAGUC